RNAcentral lists this ribosomal RNA (166 nucleotides) under uncultured Sebacinales. Its description in RNAcentral is "partial 18S ribosomal RNA". The record is from RNAcentral. Lineage: Eukaryota; Fungi; Basidiomycota; Agaricomycetes; Sebacinales.
UGGGGUGCAGUUCACAGGCCAAAAUGGUAGUGGGCACUCUGGUGCUUAAGAUAUGGUCGAGUCCCAAUUGAAAAAUUGGGUACAAGUACUCUGAUUGAUUACAUACACUCUAUGCUCAGUCAAAUACAGCUAGUUGUAAAUGCAAAUGUUCCGUAGGUGAACCUGC